Long non-coding RNA from Lactuca sativa (garden lettuce), 685 nucleotides. RefSeq lists it as uncharacterized. The record is from RefSeq and is a predicted model, not a curated record. NCBI's taxonomy places the organism in Eukaryota, Viridiplantae, Streptophyta, Magnoliopsida, Asterales, Asteraceae.
AGUCGCCCUGAGUUCGAAGGCCUUCUCCAAUUUAGGGUUUCAUUUUUUUUUGCCGCCUCUGCCUCCAUUAAGCGGGCUCAAAAACCAAUUUUUUUAAUAUCCUGCUCAUUUCCUUCAUUUCAUUCAUUAGGUUUCCCUCUUCUCUAUCACUCGGACGGUCGCACCUCCCAUUCACACCCUCCCCUUCGAUCUUCUCUUUCACUCGCUGUCAUUUUCUUACCGGAUUUUGUUCUUUCUGCAGCCGCCGGAGUUAUGUCGUCGUCGUCUCUUUGCUGUCGUCGGUAUCUCCUUCCCAUCGCUGUCAUCUACUUGUCAUCGCCAUCAUCAUCAAUCUUUCAUGGGCUAAUCAGUUAAUUGGCACAAUAGAAUGAGGCUUGACUUUUUUGAAGGUUGAUAGAUUGCGUGUGCAAGUUUCUACCAUGGAAGAACAACAAAUGGAAAUGGUUGAGAAUGAUGAAUAUGUCUAGAAAUUAAUCCCAUGGUCCCCCGAUAAUCCACCCGAGGACGAUUGAUAAGUAUUCUGAAACAAUUGCAUUUGUUAUUGAUAUUGUUUGUUUGUUUUGCUAUUGCUUAGUUUAUAUGGUAUUUGGAACAAUUGAUUUUGUAAACACUUGGUAUUGUUUGUGUGUAUUGUUAGUGCUUGGUAUUUUGGACAAUUGAAUAGAAUGUAUUGAACUUGGUAUUA